Long non-coding RNA from Mustela lutreola (European mink), 4066 nucleotides. RefSeq lists it as uncharacterized. The transcript has 3 exons. The record is from RefSeq and is a predicted model, not a curated record. NCBI's taxonomy places the organism in Eukaryota, Metazoa, Chordata, Mammalia, Carnivora, Mustelidae.
GCGCGCAUGCGCCAUGACGCUCGCGCUGCGUCCGUCUGGCUCUGCGGCUCGCCCAGGCCAAGAGGAGAGUACGUAUGCGAAGGACUCCGGGUCGCUUUGCGGGAGACGAUACUUUGUCCGACACCUACCUGCGCGCCUCCUCCCCCGCCCCCCUGCGCGCAUGCGCAAGCCUGCGCUCGGCUUCCAGGAGAGGCUGCAUAGCCGGGCUCGGGGCGAUUGUGUGGCGAUGAGCUCGUUCCCCGCUCCUCCGCGGGCGGGAAGUGGCCCCGCGGUUUUCUACCAGCCAGUCAGACUGAACUACUCACUGUGUCCUAGGUGAGGGAUGAGGACUGGGGGCCCUCCGGGAGGUGCAGCGUGCCUAUGCUGAGAGCCGUCCUUGCAGAAAAGCGCUGUAGCGGGGCUCUGGGUGCUCUGGGCAUGGCUGGUGUUGCGUGUGCUGCGGUGUGUGCUGUAAGUUCUGAUUCUGAGCCAACACAGGUAUCCUGGGGGAUCAAAGAAAGUCAUUUAAAAGGGAAGCUUCCCCAGUAGUUCUGUGUGAGGACCGAAAGCCUCUGUUUAAAGCCCUCUUCUUCAGAAGCUGAAACUGGGGUUUGGCAUGAAACUCCCUGAUUUUUAAAUACAGGCAUUUAGCUCACAUCCUUCUAAUGGAAUGGACAAUAAAUAAGCUUCGGCCACCUUCUGCGGUCUGAUCCCAGUUCUGAUCUGAGCGAUAGGCUUGGGUUAACUGACUCGACGCGCGCGCUGUUGCAGCCCCUCCACCCCCGCUUCCGUUGCACUAAGCGCUGCAAAAUGAGACUGAAAAUCUGGGCUAAAAAAAAAAAAAAUCGGAGGGCGAGAAUGAAGGAAACAGAAUGAGUAGGGUCAUGGGUGUAUUUGCCUCUCCUAGUUACAACACCCCCUUCUCUGGGACGAAGGAAGACGAACACCAAGCCAGGACAUUGUUACUGGGCAUAGAACCACAGCAGAGCUUGGUUGAAAACCUUAAAUUUUUUAUAAAGAGAAUUUCCAAACACACGUAAAGAGGGAAUAGUUACAAUGAACUUUGAUAUACUCAUCACCCACCUUCAACAAAAAUCAGUUUCUUGCCUGCCUUGUUUCAUUUCUUUGGCGUGUUUUCCCUGAAGUAUAUGAAACGGUGUCCAGAAAUGAUGUAUGUCCAGAAAAAAAAAUACAUCAUUUCACCUAAAAAUACUUGUGUCUCUAAUAGACAAGGACUUUUUAAAAAUACCAUUUCCACAUCCAACAAAAUUAAACAGUUUUACUGUUAAUGUUGUCUAACAGUUAGCAUAUGUUCAGUUUCUCCUCUUUGUCUCAAAAAACUUCAGAAUGCUUAAUCAGGGUCCAAACAAGGUAAAGUCAAGCCAUUCAGGGACACAGCUCCUCAAUCUGUUUGUUGUUGAUGCUGAUGGUGCAAUUUCCUACUGAGGCACCCAGAUCACCCAACCAGUAGAAUCCACGUUCCAGACUGGGGGUUUGUAUCUUAACAUGUCACUAAAGAUGUAUCUCUUGGUCACUGCUGUAUCCUGUACACCAUUAGAUCCACAACCAGGGAGGAUUUGCAGUAAAACUAAAUGUGUCUGCAUACAUUACAAUCAUUACCCCUUUUUAAUGUUCGGAUCAUCCCAUAAGAUGUCCAAGUGCUCUGCGCCCUUUUAACACAAUUAGUCUUUACUGACUCCCUUGCUUUCCACUUUGCACACUGCCUGCCCUACACACAAAAUCUGCCAUUUGGGGGUGCCUGGGUGGCUCACUCAGUUGGGCAUCUGCCAUUGGCUCAGGUCAUGAUCCUGGGGGCCUUGCUAGGGCUCCCUGGUCGGUGGGGAGUCUGCUUCUCCCUCUACCCCUUUCCCUGCUCAAGCUCUCUCCCUGAAUUCGUUCUAAUAAAUAAAUAAUAUCUUUUUAAAAAGUCUGCUGUUUACCUUAAGGAUCUUGAUUCACUUUGGUGAGAAAUGGUAUUCAUGGUUCUAAUUUUGUUGUUUUUUUUUCUUCAAGAGGACCCUAAAAUUUGUCCUAAUUGAUGGGUAAUCUUAAAGAGAUUGCAUUACUCACAGGAAAAAACUUAGGUUAGGUAAUUGAAAUCCCCAGGCCUGAAAACUUUUCCCCUCAAAGAUGGUGGGCAAUUUCUGCCAAAGUUACCUAAGCCAGCUGCCCCUUCAUUCAGCCAAUAUCUAUGAGCAGCUACUGUGCUGGUGUUUUAAACCCUGGGGACACAAUGGUGAACAAAACACAAAAGUCCUUGUCCUCAUGGGUUUAUUUUGGUUAUCACCUUUUGGUUAUCGCACACUCUAUAGCAUGCCAGAGGGAGAAGGUGUCAAGGAGAAAAAUUAAGCAGGGAAGAGGUUAGGGAAUGUAGUGGGUUGAACAGUGCCCCCACCAAAGACAAAGGAUCGACAUUGAAAUCCCUGGAACCCGUGAAUGUGACCUGCCUUGGGGUCCUCCCAAAUGUAAUUAAGGACCUGAUGUGAUAAUCCUGGAUUGUCCUGGACCCUAAAUCCAGUGACUAGGGUCUUUACAAGAGACACAGAGACACCACACACCCACAGAGUGGCUGCUGUAAAAAGCAAAUAGAAAAUAACUAUCAGUGAGCAUGUGGAGAAAUCAGAACCUCGGGAGCUGUGGGUGGCAUCAUAAAUGGUGCAACCACUUUGGAAAAUAACAUGGAGGCACCUCGAGAAAUUAGAACUACCAUAUGACCCAAUCAUUCCACAGCCUGGUAGAGCUCUAAAAAUCUGAAGACAGGACCUCGAAAAGACACUUGCAUGCCCACGUUUACAGAAGCACUGUGCACAGCGGCCAAGAACGGAAGCACCCAAAUGUCUAUCAAUGGAUGAACAGAAAAGAAAUCAAAAGGGGCACAAACACACCACUGCAUACCACUUAGCCUUGAAAAGGAAGUAAAUCCCACACCAAGCCACAGCACGGAUGAACCCUGAGGUCAGCAUGCUAAGGGAAAUACGCCUGUCAUGAAAAACAAAUAGUGCAUGACUCCACUUACAAACAAGAGGGUAUCUAAAGCAGCCAAAUUCGUAGAGACAGUAAGGUGGUGCUGAAGGAGGGGGGUUGUCUAAUGGAUACAGAGUUUCCGAUCUGUAUGAUGAAAACAGUUCUGGAGAACUGUCCCACGAGGUGCCUGUCACCGAACUGUGUAGGCUUGAAAGAGCGAGCUGCACGGAUAAAAGGAUUCACCACGCAGCCAGAGCCAGACACUGCAGCCACAAACCAGGAAUGCCUGGAUCAGCCAGAAACUGGGAGACACACAAGACCAUCUCUCCCAGAGUCUCUGGAGGGACCACGACUUAGCUGAUAUCUGGAUUUUGGACUUCUACUCUUGAGAUGUUUCACAGGAAAUUCAGAAGUUCAAGUACGCCAUGAGGAAAUAACAAGGCAAAUCCAGAAUAUGGAGCAGUUGGCUCCUACCUCCCAAACACUGAAGUCAAAAAGAAAAACAAGUGUGGGGAAAUGUACUUGAAAACUGAGCUGGCAAGAAAGGACCAGAGGUGUGCGGUACUACACAAGGCAUGUAGCCGCCCCUGGGUCUCCAUGUGCUAGAACUGAUGUGGGAAACAAAGGCAGAAGAAAAAUUAUUAAAUUUCCUGACUACCUACAGCCCACUGACAAGUCCUUGAAACAGGCAGAGUGACCUUCCUCUAGGGACUCAACUGCCUCAGUGCUGACACUUUUCUAAGGGCAAAAGGCAACCUUAGAUCUAACCCCCAGAAUCCUGUAAAGUCUACUGUAACAUAUAAAAAUUCCUUUGGAAACUUCCCUUUAUCUCUAAACCCAAGAUACGUGUUAGCAAUCAUCCCCCAAGCAUAUGACCCACAGACGUGUAUCUGAAGGGUCUCAUGACUACGGUUUUAUUAGAUGGUAAUAAAGACCUUUUCCUAACAAUAACUAGAUGUUCAAGGUCCUGGAAACCUUGCUUCUAAAUUCCUUGGGAGACUCACGCUGUCCCUAACCCCCUCCCAACUUGAAAGUAAUGGGUUACUUCUGACCCCACUGCAGCUCUUUCCACCCACGGGUCCUCUCCCUUGCUUUAAUAAAAUCACCUUUGGCAUCAAAGACA